RNAcentral lists this ribosomal RNA (170 nucleotides) under Ruminococcus sp. RNAcentral describes it as "partial 16S ribosomal RNA". It matches the Rfam family "Bacterial small subunit ribosomal RNA", at positions 337 to 524 of the family's 1533-position model. Lineage: Bacteria; Bacillati; Bacillota; Clostridia; Eubacteriales; Oscillospiraceae. The record is from RNAcentral.
UCCUACGGGAGGCAGCAGUGGGGAAUAUUGCACAAUGGGGGGAACCCUGAUGCAGCGAUGCCGCGUGGAGGAAGAAGGUUUUCGGAUUGUAAACUCCUGUCUUAAAGGACGAUAAUGACGGUACUUUAGGAGGAAGCUCCGGCUAACUACGUGCCAGCAGCCGCGGUAAU